CUGCUGGAAGCGAACCUGGUGAACUGAAAUAUCUAAGUAACCAGAGGAAAAGAAAUCAACCGAGAUUCCGUAAGUAGCGACGAGCGAACGCGGACUAGCCCUUAAGCUGAUUUGGUUCUAGGAAAACACUCUGGAAAGAGUGGCCAUAGAAGGUGAUAGCCCUGUAUCUGAAAGGGCCAUUUCAGUGAAGACGAGUAGGGCGGGGCACGUGAAACCCUGUCUGAACAUGGGGGGACCAUCCUCCAAGGCUAAAUACUACUGACCGACCGAUAGUGAACCAGUACCGUGAGGGAAAGGCGAAAAGAACCCCGGAGAGGGGAGUGAAAUAGAACCUGAAACCGUGUGCGUACAAGCAGUAGGAGCUCCGCAAGGAGUGACUGCGUACCUUUUGUAUAAUGGGUCAGCGACUUACUGUUCGUGGCAAGCUUAACCGUAUAGGGGAGGCGAAGGGAAACCGAGUCUGAUAAGGGCGCAUAGUCGCGGGCAGUAGACCCGAAACCGGGUGAUCUAGUCAUGCCCAGGGUGAAGGUGCGGUAACACGCACUGGAGGCCCGAACCCACUCCCGUUGCAAAGGUAGGGGAUGAGGUGUGAUUAGGAGUGAAAAGCUAAUCGAACCCGGAGAUAGCUGGUUCUCCUCGAAAGCUAUUUAGGUAGCGCCUCAUAUGUAUCCUCUCGGGGGUAGAGCACUGUUAUGGCUAGGGGGUCAUCGCGACUUACCAAACCAUUGCAAACUCCGAAUACCGAGACGGACUGUAUGGGAGACACACGGCGGGUGCUAACGUCCGUCGUGAAAAGGGAAACAACCCAGACCGUCAGCUAAGGUCCCAAAGUUAUGGUUAAGUGGGAAACGAUGUGGGAAGGCUUAGACAGCUAGGAGGUUGGCUUAGAAGCAGCCACCCUUUAAAGAAAGCGUAAUAGCUCACUAGUCGAGUCGGCCUGCGCGGAAGAUGUAACGGGGCUAAAACUACAUGCCGAAGCUGCGGAUGCAUAUUUUAUAUGCGUGGUAGGGGAGCGUUCUGUAAGUCUGCGAAGGUGUAUCGAGAGGUAUGCUGGAGAUAUCAGAAGUGCGAAUGCUGACGUAAGUAACGAUAAAGGGGGUGAAAAGCCUCCUCGCCGGAAGACCAAGGGUUCCUGUCCAACGUUAAUCGGGGCAGGGUGAGUCGGCCCCUAAGGCGAGGCUGAAAAGCGUAGUCGAUGGAAAACAGGUUAAUAUUCCUGUACUUCUGGUUAUUGCGAUGGAGGGACGGAGAAGGCUAGGCCAGCUUGGCGUUGGUUGUCCAAGUUUAAGGUGGUAGGCUUAAAUCUUAGGUAAAUCCGGGAUUUUUUAAGGCCGAGAGCUGAUGACGAGUUAUCUUUUAGAUGACGAAGUGGUCGAUGCCAUGCUUCCAGGAAAAGCUUCUAAGCUUCAGGUAACUAGGAACCGUACCCCAAACCGACACAGGUGGUUGGGUAGAGAAUACCAAGGCGCUUGAGAGAACUCGGGUGAAGGAACUAGGCAAAAUGGCACCGUAACUUCGGGAGAAGGUGCGCCGGUGAGGGUGAAGUAUUUACUACGUAAGCCCAUGCCGGUCGAAGAUACCAGGCCGCUGCGACUGUUUAUUAAAAACACAGCACUCUGCAAACACGAAAGUGGACGUAUAGGGUGUGACGCCUGCCCGGUGCCGGAAGGUUAAUUGAUGGGGUUAGCUAACGCGAAGCUCUUGAUCGAAGCCCCGGUAAACGGCGGCCGUAACUAUAACGGUCCUAAGGUAGCGAAAUUCCUUGUCGGG
Molecule: ribosomal RNA, 1770 nt
Filed under: wastewater metagenome
Description: bacterial LSU rRNA
Rfam family: Bacterial large subunit ribosomal RNA
Source: RNAcentral